Anolis sagrei ordinatus is the source of this 306-nucleotide non-coding RNA. NCBI's taxonomy places the organism in Eukaryota, Metazoa, Chordata, Lepidosauria, Squamata, Anolidae. The record is from RefSeq and is a predicted model, not a curated record.
UUGGCUCCUUGGGACAGAACCUGCUGAGCACCCUCACAUGAUGCUGGCUUGGCCCCACUCCACUGAUUCCCGAAGUUGCGAGGAAGCAGCACAAGAUGCUUCCUUGCCCAUGAUGGAAAGUGAGAAGGAAGUGACUGCUGGCUGGAAAUCAUUUGAUAAGAUAACCUUGGAAAGUUUCCCCGAUACAGAAAGUGUUUGAUAAAUCUUAAAUCCCAUGAUAAUCCUAUGAGGGAAGCCAUAAUAGCUUCCCAUUCUGAGAGUUCAAAGUUGAAGACUAAUCAUGAAAGAAAAAAGCAAGGAGAAUAU